ACCCGUUGAUCCUGCGGGAGGUUGCUGCUAGGGGAAUUCGAUUAAGCCAUGCAAGUCUGAUAGUAAUAUCGGCGAAAUGCUCAGUAACACGUCGUUAACGUGCCCUAUGGUUGGAGAUAAGCACGGGAAACUGUGUGUAAUAUCCAAUAGGGGAACCAUCCUGCAAUGGAGGUUCCUUUGAAACUCGUGCCAUAGGAUCGGACGGCGGCUGAUUAGGUUGUUGGCGGUGUAACGGACCACCAAGCCGAAGAUCAGUACGGGCCUUGAGAGAGGUAGCCCGGAGAGGGACACUGAGAUACUGGUCCCAGCCCUACGGGGUGCAGCAGGCGCGAAACCUUUACAAUGCACGCAAGUGUGAUAAGGGAAUUCCCCGUGCUCAUGCAUUGCAUGGGCUUUUGCUUAGUGUAAAUAGCUUUGCGAAUAAGUGGUGGGUAAGACUGGUGCCAGCCGCCGCGGUAACACCAGCGCCACGAGUGGUGACCACGUUUAUUGGGCCUAAAGCGUCCGUAGCCGGUUUGGUAAGUCUUUUGUGAAAUUGUUCGGCUUAACCGAACAGCGUGCAAGAGAUACUGCUAGACUUGAGACCGGGAGGAGUCAGAAGUAUUCCAGGGGGAGCGGUAAAAUGUUAUAAUCCCUGGAGGACUACCUGCGAAGGCGUCUGACCAGAACGGAUCUGACGGUGAGGGACGAAAGCCAGGGGAGCGAACCGGAUUAGAUACCCGAGUAGUCCUGGCCGUAAACGCUGUGAGCUAGGUGUUGCGCUAACUACGAGUUGGCGCAGUGUCGAAAUGAAGAUGUUAAGCUCACCGCCUGGGAAGUACGGUCGCAAGACUGAAACUUUAAGGAAUUGGCGGGGGAGCACCACAAGGGGUGCGGCGUGCGGUUUAAUCUAACUCAACGCAGAGAACCUUACUAGGGGCGACGGCAAGAUGAAGGUCAGCUUAAAGAGCUUACCUGAUGAGCCGAGAGGUGGUGCAUGGCCGCCGUCAGCUCGUGCUGUGAAGUGUCCAGCUAAGCCUGGCAACGAGCGAGACCUGUAUCUUCAAUUGCUAACAGCCACAUGUGGGACUGAGCACUUUGAAGAGACUGCCUUGGAAACGAGGAGGAAGGUGCAGGCUACGGUAGGUCUGUAUGCCCCGAAUCCCCUAGGCUACACGCGCGCAACAAUGGUUGGGACAAUGGGACGCAACUCCGAAAGGAGAAGCUAAACCUCUAAACCCAAUCCAAGUUCAGAUCGAGGCUUGCAACUCAGCCUCGUGACGACGGAAUCCCUAGUAAUCAGAAGUCAUCAUCUUCUGGUGAAUAUGUCCCUGCUCCUUGCACACACCGCCCGUCAAAUCAACCGAGCAGGGUCUGGGUAAAAUGCAGUUUUUUGAUUGUAUUGAAUCUAGGCUCAGUGAGGUGGGUUAAGUCGUCACAAGGUA
RNAcentral lists this ribosomal RNA (1424 nucleotides) under metagenome. Its description in RNAcentral is "bacterial SSU rRNA". It matches the Rfam family "Archaeal small subunit ribosomal RNA". The record is from RNAcentral.